GCGGUAAUAGCUCAGUUGGUAGAGCACGACCUUGCCAAGGUCGGGGUCGCGAGUUCGAGUCUCGUUUACCGCUC
Molecule: transfer RNA, 74 nt
Filed under: Bacteroidetes bacterium ADurb.BinA104
Lineage: Bacteria; Pseudomonadati; Bacteroidota
Description: tRNA-Gly
Rfam family: tRNA
About the family: Transfer RNA (tRNA) molecules are approximately 80 nucleotides in length. Their secondary structure includes four short double-helical elements and three loops (D, anti-codon, and T loops).
Source: RNAcentral